GGGGGCUGGGGAGGGCGGGCAGGACCUCCCGACGCAAAGCACCGCCAGCACGCCGCGCGGAGAAGGUUCGAGCCCCCAGCGGUCCUGCGGCUGUUCUGGCAGAAGCCGAGCCACGGACCUCUGUGGUGAUCUUGGCUGACCCAGGUCAUCCACAAUUCCCAUCUUCAAGGCCCUUCACUUCAUCACGUCUGCUAAUCCGCCUCGCCGUGCGGGGUUACAUAGUCACAGGUUUCUGGGAUCAGGACAUGGACCUCUUCCGGGAGCAUUAUCUGGCCCACGACCUGGCAGCUCCAUGGAAUAGCAUGGGUCCACACCUGAUGCUCCGAAGGGGGAGUCCAGGGAAGCCCCCUCCUUGGUGCCAGCACUUGAGGCUGCAAUUCAACCCUGCCUUACUGUGAAAACCUGUCGUUAAAGAGAAAAGGAUCAAGAGUGUUUCCAGCAGGAAUUAUAUUUGGGGGUGCACAGCCAGCUCCCAUGGACGAAGGAGCAGCAGAGCGCAGAGGAGAAAGUGCUAACAUCGGUGGAUGGUGGAAGAGAAAAACAUGGCCAGCACCUCCCAGGCCCUAGCGGAAGGAAGGUCUUGGGCAAGGGUCUUCAGAGGGGGCUGAGAGCCAUAGAAGGGGCACUGGGUGCUUGAAAACCCACAGGCCACCUUGAGGCGACCAGGGGGAAGCACCUGCCCCAUGGAGGGGUUGGGCAGGCCCCAGCAGGUCCACUGGGCCAUCUUUGACACAGGCAACCAGGACCCAAGGCCACACACAGACACCAAGGGCAGCUGCAACAUUCUCGAGCCUCAAUCAAGUAAGCUCUGUCCCGCAGGCCUGCAGACCCAGCUUCCACUCUGCAAAAAACCCGGAGGCAGAGGAAGAAGCCACACCGCCCACAGAGGCCACCGGACACGUGCAGACGGUGGAGCCUCCUGCAGGACGCGAGGCCUGGGUACGUGCUACCUCUGUUGCGUAAGGAGCCACCACCAGCCUGGAAGCUGAAAGCAGCACCCACUUAUCACUUCCCGGCUCUGCAGGGUAGAAGUCGCGCACAGCUGAGCUCAGUUUCCUGCCGAGGGUCCCAUGAGGCUGAGAUGGAGGCGUCCGCAGGGCUGGGCUCAUCUGGAGCUCAGCAGGAAUCUGCUCCCAGGCUCUGAUCCCGCCCUCUGCAGAAUCCCCUCCUGCACUUGGGGGACAGGGCACCCCCUUUCUCUCGAGGGCUGCCUCCUGCUUUGGCACACACCCUCGUCUCCAAAGCAAGCAUGCAGCGCUCAGCUCCCUGUGCCUUCCAAGCACUUUGCCUCUUCCGCCACCGGCCAGAGGAAACACUGCUUUCAAAGGGCACGUGUGAGUAGACUGAGCCCACCUGGAUAACUGCCUUUUAAUUCAUUCAAAUUCAACUGAUCCACAAGCUUAAUUAAUUAAUCCUCGGUGCGUGCCUGUCUCCCAGUUUCUCCUUUGUAUAAGGAGGGGCCAUAGUCCUAUUAAAUUAACCUCAUUUCACCUU
Sapajus apella (tufted capuchin) is the source of this 1494-nucleotide long non-coding RNA. RefSeq lists it as uncharacterized. The transcript has 2 exons. NCBI's taxonomy places the organism in Eukaryota, Metazoa, Chordata, Mammalia, Primates, Cebidae. The record is from RefSeq and is a predicted model, not a curated record.